GUAGGUGGCAAGCGUUGUCCGGAAUUAUUGGGCGUAAAGCGCGCGCAGGCGGUUCUUUAAGUCUGAUGUGAAAGCCCACGGCUCAACCGUGGAGGGUCAUUGGAAACUGGAGAACUUGAGUACAGAAGAGGAAAGCGGAAUUCCACGUGUAGCGGUGAAAUGCGUAGAGAUGUGGAGGAACACCAGUGGCGAAGGCGGCUUUCUGGUCUGUAACUGACGCUGAGGCGCGAAAGCGUGGGGAGCAAACAGGGAUUAGAUACCCUGGUAGCCCACGCCGUAAACGAUGAGUGCUAAGUGUUAGGGGGUUUCCGCCCCCUUAGUGCUGCAGCUAACGCAUUAAGCACUCCGCCUGGGGAGUACGGCCGCAAGGCUG
This 373-nucleotide ribosomal RNA is filed under the name uncultured organism. RNAcentral describes it as "partial 16S ribosomal RNA". It matches the Rfam family "Bacterial small subunit ribosomal RNA", at positions 527 to 896 of the family's 1533-position model. The record is from RNAcentral.